RNAcentral lists this ribosomal RNA (460 nucleotides) under uncultured bacterium. RNAcentral describes it as "partial 16S ribosomal RNA". It matches the Rfam family "Bacterial small subunit ribosomal RNA", at positions 338 to 795 of the family's 1533-position model. The record is from RNAcentral.
CCUACGGGCGGCAGCAGUGAGGAAUAUUGGUCAAUGGACGAGAGUCUGAACCAGCAAAGUAGCGUGAAGGAUGACUGCCCUCUGGGUUGUAAACUUCUUUUAUAUGGGAAUAAAACGUUACACGAGUUGGAUUUUGUAUGUACCAUAUGUAUAAGGAUCGGCUAACUCCGUGACAGCGGCCGCGAUAAUACGGAGGAUCCGCGGGUGAUCCGGAUUUCUUGGGUUUAAGGGGAGCUUAGUGGGAUUGUUAAGUCAGUUGUGAACGUCUGCGGCUCAACCGUAAAAUUGCCGUUGAAACUGGCAGUCUUGAGUACAGUAGAGGUUAGCGGAAUUCGUGGUGUAGCGGUGAAAUGCGUAGAUAUCACGAAGAACUCCGAUUGCGAAGGCAGUUCACUGGACUGCAACUGACACUGAGGCUCGAAAGUGUGGGUAUCAAACAGGAUUAGAUACCCGGGUAGUC